RNAcentral lists this ribosomal RNA (253 nucleotides) under uncultured bacterium. RNAcentral's name for it is "partial 16S ribosomal RNA". It matches the Rfam family "Bacterial small subunit ribosomal RNA", at positions 524 to 776 of the family's 1533-position model. The record is from RNAcentral.
UACGGGGGGAGCAAGCGUUGUUCGGAAUUACUGGGCGUAAAGCGCGUGUAGGCGGCCCUGCAAGUCGGAUGUGAAAUCCCACGGCUCAACCGUGGAAGUGCAUUCGAAACUGCAGGGCUAGAGUCCUGGAGAGGAAGGUGGAAUGCUUGGUGUAGAGGUGAAAUUCGUAGAUAUCAAGCGGAACACCGGUGGCGAAGGCGGCCUUCUGGACAGUGACUGACGCUGAGACGCGAAAGCGUGGGGAGCAAACAGG